UACAGGGGGGGCAAGCGUUGUUCGGAAUUACUGGGCGUAAAGGGCUCGUAGGCGGCCAACUAAGUCCGACGUGAAAUCCCAAAGCUUAACUUUGGAACUGCGUCGGAUACUGGAUGGCUUGAAUUCGGGAGAGGGAUGCAGAAUUCCAGGUGUAGCGGUGAAAUGCGUAGAUAUCUGGAGGAAUACCAGUGGCGAAGGCGGCAUCCUGGACCGACAUUGACGCUGAGGAGCGAAAGCUAGGGGAGCAAACGGG
This 253-nucleotide ribosomal RNA is filed under the name uncultured bacterium. RNAcentral describes it as "partial 16S ribosomal RNA". It matches the Rfam family "Bacterial small subunit ribosomal RNA", at positions 524 to 776 of the family's 1533-position model. The record is from RNAcentral.